Molecule: long non-coding RNA, 431 nt
Filed under: Homo sapiens (human)
Lineage: Eukaryota; Metazoa; Chordata; Mammalia; Primates; Hominidae
Description: HSALNT0380604
Source: RNAcentral
AGCGGCCUGAAGGCAGGUAGGCCUCUGUGAGGCUGAGUCCAGAGUUUCUGUUGGCUCAGAAUGGGGGAGUGCGUGCUGAUUGGUCCAUGGGUAGGCUUUGGAAAAAGCACCAUUCAAUUGGUUAAAAGCCAUCAUCCAGAAGGAACCAACUGAGAGAGAGAGAGAGAGGAAUUGCUGACAAGGAGUAAAGUGGGGCUGACUAGGAUUUCUCAUCCCACACACCUCUGGCAGAGGUGCUAAUGAACAGCAGAAUGGCCACAAGGCAGCAUACCCAACGUAGCGAAGAGGCAAGGGAGUGAGGUGUUUACAAUGAAGUUGGCAAAGAUAAUCUCUCAACUGCACCCUGGAAAAAUUUUCCCACUUACUUUGAAAACUACAAGUCAUAAUUUAAUUUCUGAGAAGAUGCAGUAAAUGGAAGUAAAAAAACAUGA